UGGGGAAUAUUGGACAAUGGGCGAAAGCCUGAUCCAGCCAUGCCGCGUGUGUGAAGAAGGCCUUUUGGUUGUAAAGCACUUUAAGCGAGGAGGAGGCUACUAGUACUAAUACUACUGGAUAGUGGACGUUACUCGCAGAAUAAGCACCGGCUAACUCUGUGCCAGCAGCCGCGGUAAUACAGAGGGUGCGAGCGUUAAUCGGAUUUACUGGGCGUAAAGCGUGCGUAGGCGGCUGAUUAAGUCGGAUGUGAAAUCCCUGAGCUUAACUUAGGAAUUGCAUUCGAUACUGGUCAGCUAGAGUAUGGGAGAGGGUGGUGGAAUUUCCUGUGUAGCGGUGAAAUGCGUAGAUAUAGGAAGGAACACCAGUGGCGAAGGCGACCACCUGGGCUCAUACUGACACUGAGGUGCGAAAGCGUGGGGAGCAAACAGG
This 430-nucleotide ribosomal RNA is filed under the name Pseudomonadota bacterium. RNAcentral's name for it is "Proteobacteria bacterium partial 16S ribosomal RNA". It matches the Rfam family "Bacterial small subunit ribosomal RNA", at positions 355 to 776 of the family's 1533-position model. The record is from RNAcentral. Lineage: Bacteria; Pseudomonadati; Pseudomonadota.